Molecule: long non-coding RNA, 514 nt
Filed under: Equus caballus (horse)
Lineage: Eukaryota; Metazoa; Chordata; Mammalia; Perissodactyla; Equidae
Description: lncRNA (ENSECAG00000043981.1)
Source: RNAcentral
AAUAGUUCCACAGAGCUGCCGCUGUUUGCCCUCUGAGGGUUUUAAACUGGAAUCUCCAGAACCUCUUCUAAAUCAGAGCUGGGUCAAACGAUUUCACGAAGGAUCUACAGGAAAAAAAAUGAACUCACUAAAUAAUUUUUUAUUCCAUAUCUCGUUUCUAAAACCUCAUAAUUAAGAAAGAAACUGAAGAAAAGGUUAUAAAAGUUAACAUCCCUGUGAACAAUCUUCCUCUAUUUUGUAUGUGGGUCGCCACCAGAUCGUGGCUGACAAGUAGUGUAGGUCCGUGCCCAAGAUCCAAACCCAUGAACCUGGGCCACUGAAGCGGAGUGCAUGAACUUAAUCACUGUGCCGCAGGGCCAGCCCAGCCUUACUCUUUCAGCCACGUGAGGAUGCAGUGAGAAGUCAGCCACCUGAGCCCAGAAGAGGAUUCUCACCAGCACGCGACCAUACUGGCACCUAAUGUGGGGCUGCCAACGUCCAGAAUGAUGAGAAAUAAAUGUCUGUUGUUGAAAAG